GCUGUAGGAAGUUAACCCAUAGACAGCGCUCCCUGCUCCUGAGCUAUGCAGAGGAAGAGACUGACGUGUUGGGGACUGUCAACGGAGUUACUGCUACUACCACAGGUGGGGGCAGGAGUGGUCAGCGCUCUGAGUCUGGGGCAGGACAGGACAGAACAGAGGGGCAGGAGAAGAAAGAAGAGGAGGAGGGCAUCCUUUCCAAAAUAAAGAAAAUCUUUAUCUGACAGCCACACCUCAGGUAAGAGAUCAACAGGACCAUAAUGGGAGAAGGUAAGCUACUGGCCCUCUGUCCCGCUCACUACCCUCCCUCACCUACCGCCUGGAUAAAGUG
Coregonus clupeaformis (lake whitefish) is the source of this 331-nucleotide long non-coding RNA. RefSeq lists it as uncharacterized. The record is from RefSeq and is a predicted model, not a curated record. The transcript is spliced from 3 exons. NCBI's taxonomy places the organism in Eukaryota, Metazoa, Chordata, Actinopteri, Salmoniformes, Salmonidae.